Molecule: long non-coding RNA, 1551 nt
Organism: Acinonyx jubatus (cheetah)
Lineage: Eukaryota; Metazoa; Chordata; Mammalia; Carnivora; Felidae
Exons: 3
Source: RefSeq, a predicted model, not a curated record
GUUAACUGACCUCGCUCUCCCGCAGCUUCUGAAUCUUUCCCGCUCAAAGUAAACCUGUUCGGGAUUGGCUCUGAUUGGCAAGCAACAGCUCUAUGAUUGGCUCAUAGGGCAGCGGAGGGGCGGGGCGUGGAAGGUAAGGAAAGAGAGCAGGCCUACCCCGUGGGAGAAGCGGUGGAGGUGGUCGGAAGAUUUGAGAAGUCGCUCAGCAACUGGCUGAUAAUCUAAACCUAUCGCUGCGCACCUUGUGCCAACAUUUCAUUUUUGGCCCUUGGGCCCUUCCCUAACUCCCAGAGUCCUUUGGAACAGCCAAGAGAAUAAUAGACGUGCCCGUUUACAGAAGAACUGCACAAGGAACUAUGGACCCAGCAAAAGGAACAGAGAGAUGCUCAGUAGCUUCUUUCUCCAAAUGCGGGGCCUUCCUUCUUAAGGACGAGAGAACGUCAGAUUGAUAGCUCCACCAAACUGAGAGCUUAUGCCUACUCUCAGCCAGUGUAUUUGGCUUCUGCAGCACCUUGUUCUGCCAGAUAUAUUGUGGAAAUUAUUAUGAUGGUUUUUUCCACUCCAGUGAAGCAGACGUCUGGAUCCCUUUGUGAGCCUCUUGAUCCUUAUUCCUUACCACCCCCACCAAUAUGCAACCAAAGUCUUGUUGGCUCAAUGAAUCUAUAUGGUCUCAUUUUAUAGAAUCCCCAAAGAAGAGAAAUAUGGCUGUGUUUUCCAGAAUGUUAAUUGAUAACAGUUCUUGGCAACAGUACUCUUCCUGGCUUUCCCUCUUUAACCUACUCCUUCCACCCAUAAUAAUAGCAUCAUUCCUGAGUAGAUUGGCACCAGUCUGGAGUUUCUCUCUCUCUCUCUCUCUCUGUCUCUCUCUGUCUCUUUCUCACCUCUCUCUCUCCCUCUCUCUUUCUGUCUCUCCUCUCUUCCCCCAGCCCCACCCAUAGGCCCUUCAUUCCUUUUUUCCUUGCUCUACUGAUUAUACCUGGACUAUUUAACUUUCUAAUAUGAGCUGGUUUGUUGCACACUCUCUGAAAAUUGUAAUGAUGUGAAUAUUAAUAAUUAGAAGAGGCCUCACUGAGAGGUGUUAUUCCCGAUUUCAACCAUACUUCAUUGUCAAAGUUAAGGAGAGGUCUUGCAUCUCUGUUCACUUAAGAACUGUCUCCUCUACUCAGUUAUCUUUAGAUUCUGUAGUUGAGUCGAGUUUAGACUCUGGGCUGCGAGUGGGAAGAGGCAGGAACUGUUUCACGUAGGUAAACCCUACACAAAUCUGGCUUUUCCUGUCUAGCUCAUCUUAAAUAUGGGGCAUCAAGAGGGAAAUCUAUCAGGAGGUUUCUGUUGGAAAGUAAGCUGGGGGAUCAAGUGGCCUAGUGUUUUAUUCCAGCUUUUCUCCAGAUGAUCUCCAGAUUUCUGGCCUUUACCUUCUCUGGGCUUCAAUUUCCUCAUCUGUAAAAUAAAGGGUGUGAUAAAUCACCCUGUAACAUUCCUUCCAACUCUAAAUUGUUCUGGUUCAAAAUGUUGAAAAUUUCAAGUUAGUAUAACCAUAGAAUUAAAGUUGUU